AAAUUCUUAGUAUAUGUUAGUAUUUUUAAUUGCAAAUUAAAAGGAUGAGAAUUUU
RNAcentral lists this transfer RNA (55 nucleotides) under Oesophagostomum dentatum (nodular worm). RNAcentral describes it as "transfer RNA-Cys". The record is from RNAcentral. Lineage: Eukaryota; Metazoa; Nematoda; Chromadorea; Rhabditida; Strongylidae.